Molecule: ribosomal RNA, 449 nt
Filed under: uncultured bacterium
Lineage: Bacteria
Description: partial 16S ribosomal RNA
Rfam family: Bacterial small subunit ribosomal RNA
Source: RNAcentral
CGCCAGACUCCUACGGGAGGCAGCAGUAGGGAAUAUUGCUCAAUGGGGGAAACCCUGAAGCAGCAACGCCGCGUGGGGGAUGAAGGUUUUCGGAUUGUAAACUCCUUUUGUUAGAGAAGAUAAUGACGGUACCUGAAGAAGAAGCCCCGGCUAACUACGUGCCAGCAGCCGCGGUAAUACGUAGGGGGCAAGCGUUAUCCGGAUUUACUGGGUGUAAAGGGGGCGCAGACGGCGAUGCAAGCCAGGAGUGAAAGCCCGGGGCCCAACCCCGGGACUGCUCUUGGAACUGCGUGGCUGGGGUGCAGGAGGGGCAGGCGGAAUUCCUGGUGUAGCGGUGAAAUGCGUAGUUAUCAGGAGGAACACCGGUGGCGGAGGCGGCCUGCUGGACUGCAACUGACGUUGAGGCCCGAAAGCGUGGGGAGCAAACAGGAUUAGAUACCCCGGUAGAA